Molecule: long non-coding RNA, 645 nt
Organism: Cucumis melo (muskmelon)
Lineage: Eukaryota; Viridiplantae; Streptophyta; Magnoliopsida; Cucurbitales; Cucurbitaceae
Exons: 2
Source: RefSeq, a predicted model, not a curated record
UGUUUUUGUAUCAAAUUAAAACUAGAGGUAAUGGCUUUAACAAUCAACUGUUCAUCUUCUUCAGUUUUUCUCCUUCCUCAACCUCCCCAUCUGAAUUCCUUCGAUUCUACAAAAACCGCUAAAUUACCUCUAUAAGUCUUGAUCAAAUUACAACUCAAUCGAUCUCUACCGAUUCUAUGACGAAUCGAGGAAAGAAGAUGGAGGAUCAUGGAGAAGUCGAAGCGUAUGCGCUUUAGGUUUAGCGAGUUUGAUUUUCGCAAUCGAAAUCAGCGACGUCUUCAUUGCUAGUGAAUCUCUUGCUCUGGAAUCGUCGCCGCAACUUGUGGAUUAUUAUUCACGGAGGCGUAUGAAGAAGAUACCGAGAUGGAGUGAUAAGAUUAGAAAAUGCGCUCCAUGGCGAGCGAAAUCGUUGGAGAUCAUCGUGCCGGAGAAUCUCCCGAGGCCGUCACAGCGUCGGAAGUGGGAAGCCAUUGCAUAUGAAUUCAUAGAUAUGAAGAAGAACGCUCCGGGAGUUCAAGUAAUUUCUUCUGAAAUUAGCUCUGAUUACUGUUUCUCCUUGUAAAUUUGUAUGGCUUUUAUUUUGUAAAUCGUUGUAUCAAUCAAUCACAUCAAUGGCUACAUUGUUAAUAUUGCUUUUGAUGUUCA